CUCUUAUCCGGAGUGGUGGAGGGACUGGCCCAAUGAAACCCGGCAACCCGCUUUGAACGCAAUGAUUUUUAUAGCUUGCUCAAAGCAUGGUGCUAAUUCUUGCAGGAGAGAUUCUUCUGGCAGAUAAGAG
Molecule: non-coding RNA, 130 nt
Organism: Desulfosporosinus sp. BRH_c37
Lineage: Bacteria; Bacillati; Bacillota; Clostridia; Eubacteriales; Desulfitobacteriaceae
Source: Rfam